RNAcentral lists this ribosomal RNA (696 nucleotides) under uncultured archaeon. RNAcentral describes it as "bacterial SSU rRNA". It matches the Rfam family "Archaeal small subunit ribosomal RNA", at positions 206 to 903 of the family's 1478-position model. The record is from RNAcentral.
GGGAUGGGCCCGCGACUGAUCAGGUAGUUGGUGAAGGCAAUGGCUCACCAAGCCUUUUACCGUGCGGGCCGUGAGAGCGGGAGCCCCGGAGAUGGGUACUGAGACAAGGACCCAGGCCCUACGGGGCGCAGCAGUCGCGACAACUCCGCAAUGCACGAAAGUGUGACGGGGCUACCCCGAGUGCCAUCCGCUGAGGAUGGCUUUUCCUUGGUAUAACUAGCCGGGGGAAUAAGGAGAGGGCAAGACUGGUGUCAGCCGCCGCGGUAAUACCAGCUCUCCGAGUGGUAGGGAUGAUUAUUGGGCUUAAAGCGUCCGUAGCCGGCUUAGCAAGUCUCCUGUUAAAUUCAGCGACCUAAUCGUUGAGCCGCGGGAGAUACUACUAGGCUAGGAGGCGGGAGAGGUCGACGGUACUUCUGGGGUAGGGGUGAAAUCCUAUAAUCCCGGGAGGACCACCAGUGGCGAAGGCUGUUGACUAGAACGCGCUCGACGGUGAGGGACGAAAGCUGGGGGAGCGUACCGGAUUAGAUACCCGGGUAGUCCCAGCCGUAAACGAUGCGGGCUAGGUGUUGGGGUGGCUACGUGCCACCUCAGUGCCGCAGGGAAGCCAUUAAGCCCGCCGCCUGGGGAGUACGGCCGCAAGGCUGAAACUUAAAGGAAUUGGCGGGGGAGCACCACAAGGCGUGAAGCUUGCGGUUC